GGGUGGUUAGCUCAGUGGUAGAGCACUGCCUUCACACGGCAGGGGUCACAGGUUCGAACCCUGUACCACCCACCA
RNAcentral lists this transfer RNA (75 nucleotides) under Comamonadaceae bacterium. RNAcentral's name for it is "tRNA-Val". It matches the Rfam family "tRNA". Rfam says of the family: Transfer RNA (tRNA) molecules are approximately 80 nucleotides in length. RNAcentral also lists the same sequence under 5 other names. The record is from RNAcentral. Lineage: Bacteria; Pseudomonadati; Pseudomonadota; Betaproteobacteria; Burkholderiales; Comamonadaceae.